GAUGAACGCUGGCGGCGUGCCUAAUACAUGCAAGUCGAGCGAACAGAGGAGGAGUUUGCUCCUCUGACGUUUGCGGCGGACGGGUGUGUCACACGUGGAUAAUCUAUCUAUAAGACUGGGAUCAAUUCGGGAAAAUGGAGAUAAUACCGGGUCAUCAAUUGAACCGCAAGGUUUAAUAGUGAAAGACGGCUUUGCUGCCACCUAAUGAAGGAUCCGUGCAUCAUUUGCUGGUUGGUAAGGCAACGGCUUACCAAGGCAACGUUGCGUAGCCGACCUGAGAGGGUGACCGGCCACACGGGAACUGAGACACGGUCCAGACUCCUACGGGGGGCGGCGUUAGGGAUUCUUCCGAAAGGGCCGAAAGCCUGCCGGGGCACCGCCGCGUGAGGAAUGAGGUUCUUCGGAUCUUAAAACUCUUUGAUUAGGGAAGAACAAUUGUGUAAGUAACUAUGCACGUCUUGACGGUACCUAAUCAGAAAGCCACGGCUAACUACGUG
Molecule: ribosomal RNA, 497 nt
Filed under: uncultured bacterium
Lineage: Bacteria
Description: partial 16S ribosomal RNA
Rfam family: Bacterial small subunit ribosomal RNA
Source: RNAcentral